Molecule: microRNA precursor, 88 nt
Filed under: Tupaia belangeri (northern tree shrew)
Lineage: Eukaryota; Metazoa; Chordata; Mammalia; Scandentia; Tupaiidae
Description: miRNA (ENSTBEG00000017869.1)
Source: RNAcentral
CCCAGCUCUCUUCCCCCACAAAAGAAAAGCUAGGCGCAGUGACUCUUACCUGUAGUCCCAGACACUCGGGAGGCUGAGGCAGGAGGAU